GGUUCAAAUCCCCUCUUCAACA
Molecule: transfer RNA, 22 nt
Filed under: Tursiops truncatus (common bottlenose dolphin)
Lineage: Eukaryota; Metazoa; Chordata; Mammalia; Artiodactyla; Delphinidae
Description: partial tRNA-Leu
Source: RNAcentral